Molecule: ribosomal RNA, 2010 nt
Filed under: Triticum aestivum (bread wheat)
Lineage: Eukaryota; Viridiplantae; Streptophyta; Magnoliopsida; Poales; Poaceae
Description: partial small subunit ribosomal RNA
Source: RNAcentral
CAACCCGGCAUCCGUUUCCCCUCGCGAGAGCUCGAGACACCCCCCAUGUCGCGGUAGGAAGACCGUCCGAACCCUAACCCUAGCUCCAUCCACCGGCGUCCCCGUCCUCCUCCGGCCAUCCUCCAUGGACGCGAAGGACAUCCUCGGGCUCCAGAAGACCUCCUUCCCGUCCGCCCAGGAGAAGAAGUCGCGGCCGCCCAAGGAGCCGCAGCGCAAGCCCGAUGGCGUCUCGCGCGAGGUGUACGCGCUCACCGGAGGGGUCGGAAUGGCGCCGCUCAUGCCGACCAUCGAGGCCUCGCACCUGAAGCGCCGGCCUGCUGUCGAGAAGGAGAAGGUAGCAUGGCAGUGGCUACCUUUCACGUCAUCUGCACGAACUGACAAUCUGCAACUUUACCACUGGGUUAGAGUUGUAAAUAAUGUUCCACCAACUGGUGAUUAUGACUUUGCAAAAUAUAACACGAAGGUGGAUGUUCUUAAAUACACCGAUGAGGAGUACGAGAAAUAUUUAACUGAACCUACAUGGAGCAGAGAAGAAACAGACCAGCUAUUUGAAUUAUGUCAGCGCUUUGACCUUCGUUUCAUAGUAAUAGCAGAUAGGUUUCCAACUGCUCGCAGCGUGGAAGAUCUAAAGAGCCGUUAUUAUUCAGUUACUAGGGCCCUUCUAAUUGCAAGAGCUCGAUCAUUCGAUGAAGUUGCUGGAAACCCUCUUGUGAAGGAAACCUUCAAUGCUGCUCAUGAGACCGAGAGAAAACGUGCAUUGUCUGCACUCUUCUCCCAAACAAAACAGCAAGAACGAAAGGAUGCCGAGGUUUUAGCAGAAGCAAAACGCAUUAUGGAAUCUCGUGCUGCUAAUAAAAAUGUGGAAGAAGCCGGAGCACCGACGAGCAUCCCUAAUGCUGCGGUUCCUGCUGACGGUGUAUCUCCCUUGAGCAACAAUCUUCCAUCUUCAGCUGCUACACAUCCAGCUGCAGCAGCGAAUACCUCCAUACCUGAUACACUGCGGAUGCUUAAAGUGUAUUUGAGAACCCAUGCACUUGAUCAAAUGGUUCAAGCAGUAACUGCUUCAGCUGGCAUUAGAAUGAUUAAAAGGGUGGAUCAAACUCUACAAGAUCUUGGGGUAAAUUUGAAGCCUAAGGUCCCAACAAAAGCAGUUUGUGCCGAACAUCUUGAGUUACGGAAUGAGAUACUCACACUGCUUAACAUACAGAAGCAGCUACAAAAUAAAGAGGCUGAAGUUUUAGCAAACAGAGAAAGUUCAUUCACAGAGGCACCGACCACACCUAAGCGUUCUAAUAGAGAUAUUGAUCGACCCUUUGUCCCUGAUAUGGCUGGGUUUGGAGGUGAGAGAGCAGUCAAACGGGACCACAAGAGGAAGGCCACUGGAAGAUUUGAUGCACCCCCCUCACCAACCCAGGGCAAGAGGCCUCGGAAGAUGAAGGCGUCUGAUUGAUAGUCGGACACAACAUAUAACAUCGGGAUGUAGCCAAAUAACCAGAGCCGGCCCUGGGCCAGGGCAAGAAGGACGUGGCCAAGGAAAAUAGGACUAGUCUUCUGUACACUAGGUUAGCCGUUCGCCACCUGUUUUGUAAAAUGGAAUUAAUGGUGGUUUUAACCUUGUUGUUGAUUGUGGAAAUGAACUCUGUUUUGUGCAAAGCAAUGCGCACGACGAUUCAGAGCAGAUCAAGAGUUGGAACUGGAUUCCAGAAAUGCUUUGGGCACCCAUAUUAUCGAAUUCAUUAAGUUCAAAGUUGCUCCUCGCCGUGGGGAUGAUCCCCGUGCGAAGAUAAGCUUUUGAACUUCUUUAAAUAACAAAGUUCUACGGACAUACUAGCAUUGAGAUCCACCCAACAGGCUCAAAGUUACUCAGGUGGACAAUGCCCAUAAUUUUUUUGUGGAAGUUUAUAGUCUGAACAUGGGGUUGAGCAUCUAAAUACUGAAAUUUCACCAAAUCCUACAUGGGACGUACUCGUACAGUUCAGGCUGCCGAUCAGCUCAAAGUUGCUUCUUGAC